AUUGAACGCUGGCGGCAGGCCUAACACAUGCAAGUCGAGCGGAUGAAGGGAGCUUGCUCCUGGAUUUAGCGGCGGACGGGUGAGUAAUGCCUAGGAAUCUGCCUGGUAGUGGGGGAUAACGUCCGUAAACGGGCGCUAAUACCGCAUACGUCCUGAGGGAGAAAGUAGGGGAUCUUCGGACCUCACGCUAUCAGAUGAUCCUAGGUCGGAUUAGCUAGGUGGUGGGGUAAAGGCCUACCAAGGCGACGAUCCGUAACUGGUCUGAGAGGAUGAUCAGUCACACUGGAACUGAGACACGGUCCAGACUCCUACGGGAGGCAGCAGUGGGGAAUAUUAGACAAUGGGCGAAAGCCUGAUCCAGCCAUGCCGCGUGUGUGAAGAAGGUCUUCGGAUUGUAAAGCACUUUAAGUUGGGAGGAAGGGCAGUAAGUUAACACCUUGCUGUAUUGACGUUACCAAAAGAAUAAGCACCGGCUAACUUCGUG
RNAcentral lists this ribosomal RNA (484 nucleotides) under uncultured bacterium. Its description in RNAcentral is "partial 16S ribosomal RNA". It matches the Rfam family "Bacterial small subunit ribosomal RNA", at positions 30 to 507 of the family's 1533-position model. The record is from RNAcentral.